This 253-nucleotide ribosomal RNA is filed under the name uncultured bacterium. RNAcentral describes it as "partial 16S ribosomal RNA". It matches the Rfam family "Bacterial small subunit ribosomal RNA", at positions 524 to 776 of the family's 1533-position model. The record is from RNAcentral.
UACGUAGGGAGCAAGCGUUGUCCGGAAUCAUUGGGCGUAAAGCGCGCGUAGGUGGCUUCAUAAGUCCGUUGUGAAAGUCAAAGGCUCAACCUUUGAAAGCCGAUGGAUACUGUGGAGCUAGAGUACGGAAGAGGCGAGUGGAAUUCCUGGUGUAGCGGUGAAAUGCGUAGAUAUCUGGAGGAACACCGGUGGCGAAGGCGGCAUCCUGGACCGACACUGACGCUGAGGAGCGAAAGCCAGGGGAGCAAACGGG